CAGCCGCCGCGGUAAUACGGAGGGUGCAAGCGUUAAUCGGAAUUACUGGGCGUAAAGCGCACGCAGGCGGUCUGUCAAGUCAGAUGUGAAAUCCGGGCUUAACCUGGGAACUGCAGUGGAUACUGGGUCACUAGAGUGUGGUAGAGGAUAGUGGAAUUUCCGGUGUAGCAGUGAAAUGCGUAGAGAUCGGAAGGAACAUCUGUGGCGAAGGCGACUAUCUGGGCCAACACUGACACUGAGGCACGAAAGCGUGGGGAGCAAACAGGAUUAGAUACCCCUGUAGUCCCUGUCUCUUAUAACA
Molecule: ribosomal RNA, 301 nt
Filed under: uncultured bacterium
Lineage: Bacteria
Description: partial 16S ribosomal RNA
Rfam family: Bacterial small subunit ribosomal RNA
Source: RNAcentral